CCUCUCUCUCAAGUUCAACAAACACCAUGGUCCUUGUCGUCUUGAUCCUCUGUCUCCUCCCCUUGCUGAGCAUGAUCAUGAUGAUGAAGAGGAAGCACGACUCCAGCUGCUACAUGCUCAACUACGAGUGCUACCAACCCUCCCAAAGCCUCAAACUCGACACCGAGGCCUCAUGCAGAGUCGUCCUCCGCAACAAGAAUCUGGGAUGGGAGCAGUACAAGUUCCUCCUCAAAACCAUCGUCAGCUCCGGCCUCGGCGAGGAGACCUACAGCCCCGCCAACGUCGUCGCCGCCAAAGAAGCCGACCCCUCCCUCCCCGACUCCCUCCAAGAACUCGACCACAUCUUCUUCCAAACCUUAGACAACCUCUUCGCCAAAUCCCGAGUUUCACCGCAACACAUCGACAUCCUCGUCGUCAACGUCUCCUUGCUCUCCCCCUCUCCCUCUCUCUCGUCUCGGAUCAUCAACCGCUACAACAUGCGCCCCGACAUCAAGGCCUUCAACCUCGCCGGCAUGGGAUGCAGCGCCAGCCUCAUCGCCGUCGACCUCGUCCGCCAGCUCUUCAAGACUUACAAGAAUAAACUAGCCAUCGUCGUCAGCACCGAGUCUCUCGGCCCCAACUGGUAUGCUGGCGUAGACAAAUCGAUGAUGCUGUCGAACUGCCUAUUCCGAUCAGGCGGAUGCUCCAUGCUUCUGACGAACCGGUCGGAAUUCAGAGAUGCGGCCAUUUUCAAACUCAAGCAUUUGGUAAGAACGCAUUUCGGAUCCAACGACGAAGCCUACAACUGCUGUAUACAGGUUGAAGAUAAUGAAGGCUACGCUGGUUUUCGACUCACCAAGAAGCUCACCAAAGCAGCCGCGCAGGUCUUUGUUAUUAAUCUCAAAGUUCUGUUGCCUAAGAUCUUGCCGCUGUCCGAGAUCAUCAGGUUCGUUUUUAUUUAUCUCAUCCGGUGGGCUAAGGGGAACAAGAUUAAGCUCACUGAAGCCCUCAUCACCGGCGACCUCAAUCUCAGGUCCGGCGUUGAUCAUUUCUGCAUACACCCUGGGGGCAGGGCAGUGAUCGACGGAGUCGGGAAGAGCCUCGGGCUUAGCGAGUACGAGCUGGAGCCGGCACGGAUGGCGCUCCACCGGUUCGGUAACACCUCGGCGGGCGGGCUGUGGUACGUGCUGGGUUACAUGGAGGCGAAGAAGCGGCUGAAGAAGGGCGAUCGGGUGAUGAUGAUCAGUUUUGGGGCUGGUUUCAAGUGCAACAAUUGUUUAUGGGAAGUCCUCAGAGACUUGGACGAUACGAAUGUGUGGGAAGAUUGUAUCCAUCGAUACCCUCCCAUCAGCCUCGCCAAUCCUUUCGCUGAGAAAUAUGGAUGGAUCAACGAUGAGUAUGUCAGCUUCAUUCGGAUUGAGGAUUGUGAUUUCUCCACCACCGCUUGAUUUUAUUAAUUACUCAGUAGUUUGGUUGAGAUUCGGUUGCAUUUUAGACCUUAUUAGUUAAAGUGAAAUGCAUGUAUUAUUAAAUAUACUUCAGAAUAAGGGGUCAUCUACUACCAAAUAUGGGAUAAGGAGUACUAUAUACCAUAUCAAUAUUAUAUUUUGUAUGAUGUCUUAAAAUAUCUAUAAUAUAUACUCCCUCGUUCCACGAAAGAACUUCCUAUCUUUCCUUUUUGGGACGUCCAUAAAAGAACUUCCUACCUAUUUUUAGACUAUACCCCACCACUUAUAAUCCUCUUACUUUUCACUUUUCACAACUCCCAAUAUUAAUUAUAACACAUUUUCACCACUCUCAAUACACUCAGUGGCGGAUCCAGGGGGCUGGGGGGGCUAGAGCCCCCCCCAAUUUUUAGAAUUUUUUUUUUUAAAUUUUAUAAUAUAUAUAAAUAAAUAAUAAUAAUAAAACUAAAUACUCCUAAAAGGCUAAAACGAGGGAGGACUGUAGUAUGUAUAGAUUUGAAUUAAAAGUUGAAACCCUUCUUCCUUGCGCCGCUUCCAGAGUUCCAGACUCAGUCGCCUGUCGCCCCCUUCCGGCCACAACUCCACGGUCGCUCGCGUUCCGCACCGCCGUUGGAGGACACUGAACCUGCCAGGCUGCCACCGCCGGUCGGUCUGCUCUGCUUCCAAUUUUCCUCGCAACUCUCGCAAGCCGCAGCAGAAAUGGAACGUUUUUUUUCUAAAAAACGUAGAAGUCAAUCAAUAUGUGAUUAAGUUACGCCCGUUAUUGAAGCAAAUGUAGAAGUUGAAGCGAAUGUAGAAGAUGAAACAAAUUUUGAUGAAUACGUUCGUGAUCCGGGGUUAAGAAAGCCAAUUGAGGAGUUUCCUAUUGCUAUUCGCGAUCAAGCACGUAGAGAGUACUUAUCAAUGGGUCGUCUAUAUUGAGAAGGAAAUUUUCUCAACAAUUGACAACGAGAAGGUUUUGCAACGUUUUCAGUCAAUGAGUACACGUCGAAAUCAACUGUCAUUGCUUUCUCAAACAGAGACGACUAGCUCGAGUUCGCCAAGUAUUACUAUUUCAUAGAUUAUUUGUAAUAGACAUGGUAAUGAAUGAAACUAUUGUACGUUUUUAUUAUUAUGGUUGAACUAAUGACAAAAAAACAAUUAUUUAUUAA
Salvia miltiorrhiza (redroot sage) is the source of this 2596-nucleotide RNA transcript. It is a transcript of the gene named 3-ketoacyl-CoA synthase 19-like, with no coding region annotated. NCBI's taxonomy places the organism in Eukaryota, Viridiplantae, Streptophyta, Magnoliopsida, Lamiales, Lamiaceae. The transcript has 4 exons. The record is from RefSeq and is a predicted model, not a curated record.